RNAcentral lists this ribosomal RNA (506 nucleotides) under uncultured bacterium. RNAcentral's name for it is "partial 16S ribosomal RNA". It matches the Rfam family "Bacterial small subunit ribosomal RNA", at positions 29 to 523 of the family's 1533-position model. The record is from RNAcentral.
AGUGAACGCUGGCGGUAGGCCUAACACAUGCAAGUCGAACGGCAGCACAGGAGAGCUUGCUCUCUGGGUGGCGAGUGGCGGACGGGUGAGGAAUACAUCGGAAUCUACUCUGUCGUGGGGGAUAACGUAGGGAAACUUACGCUAAUACCGCAUACGACCUACGGGUGAAAGCAGGGGACCUUCGGGUCUUGCGCGCCUGAAUGAGCCGAUGUCGGAUUAGCUAGUUGGCGGGGUAAAGGCCCACCAAGGCGACGAUCCGUAGCUGGUCUGAGAGGAUGAUCAGCCACACUGGAACUGAGACACGGUCCAGACUCCUACGGGAGGCAGCAGUGGGGAAUAUUGGACAAUGGGCGCAAGCCUGAUCCAGCCAUACCGCGUGGGUGAAGAAGGCCUUCGGGUUGUAAAGCCCUUUUGUUGGGAAAGAAAUCCAGCUGGCUAAUACCCGGUUGGGAUGACGGUACCCAAAGAAUAAGCACCGGCUAACUUCGUGCCAGCCGCCGCAGUAA